AACAAAUAAUGAUUAAAAAACAAAAAAAAAAAAAACGGAAGGUAAAUUUCUAUAACUAAGCAAAGAUAACUGCAACGAUGCGUACUGUUAUUAGCAAUUAUUUUUCGUAGGUGAAGAAGGUAAAUUGGAAAUUUGAAUGCGAGUUUCAACGGCCAAAUCAUCAGCUUGGUUUUGUGCCUCCAUGUCCGGACACAUUGAAAACUUGUCAUCAGCAGGACUGCAUGCCCCUAAGGGUAUCGAUUGAGGCGAUUUAAAGUUUUCAAUACCAACCAAGUCUAGCAUCCAAGAAAAAGCAGCGCCAAAAAAGCCGAAUUCGAAAAGAUCUAAUAUACUGUAAAAUAUGGCUUCUCCAAUUGGCGAGAUAACAUUGAGGCCCUCAGAUAAAAUCCAACAUGCAUAAUAGAGGAACCAAAUGACAUGUAAGUAAACAAUUGACCAUAAAAACCCUAGGCGCGCAGACGUCUCUAAACGGCUAGCAUACUUUUUAUGCAAAACGACUGAGUGUGCCAAUGCAAUAAAAUAGCCUACAAACGAAAAUCCGUAAUAGGCCCAUUUAUAGGGAGAUGAAGUUAAUGCUGCCGCCAGUAAGCAAACAAUCGCAAAAAGCACAUAGCAAACGACAUAUGCAAUUUCUAGUAUAGAUACGCCUACCGUCCAAUGUAGCAUUACGAUGAUUAAUGGGAAAUUGAUUAACCAUUGAAUAUAGCGAACAUAGUAAACCAUUCGUACACUAACUUCUCGAAAAAAAGAAGCAGAAGAAAACACAUUUUUCAAUCCAUAAUUGCAGGCCAUGGUAAAGUAGGCCAAGCAAGAAACCAAACUGAGGAUGGAAAAGAAACGGUGGUAAGUCUGCUUUUGAGGCAAACUGAAUAUCGAUACUAAAGGAAAGACAAUUGCGCACAGCAGGAACACUGCAAAAACAGCCCAAUAGUAGUUUGAGCUUAUCUUUUGCAAAGCGACUUCCGGAAGCUCUUUCAGUACCAUUCCGGAGGAAGAUAAUUUCGCAUUCAUGAUGCGUAAACAGGAUAGAGGCUGGAUUAAAAGAUAUAGAAACAACUCUUAUAUUCUUAAAGGUAGCGAUACUAGUUGAGUUGAAAAGUCAAAACUUUGUAAUAAUGGGUAGCUGAGACACGGUGAAGGUGGCUCUG
Non-coding RNA from Schizosaccharomyces pombe (fission yeast), 1148 nucleotides. The record is from the annotation of a GenBank genome assembly. NCBI's taxonomy places the organism in Eukaryota, Fungi, Ascomycota, Schizosaccharomycetes, Schizosaccharomycetales, Schizosaccharomycetaceae.